CAAUGGUAACCAGUCACACCCACUAUAUCAUCUUACAAAUAUUACAAAAUUACUACAGUACAAUAUAGAGUCUUUGCAUGAUCCAAAAUAUUUGGUGGCCCCAAAAGGAUUACGUUUUUAAAAAUUCAGCAGCUUAUUAAAAAGAAAAAAAAAAUCAAAAACCAUGCCUAUCAAAAUGAUGUUUCGCUUUUAUUAGCAAAAAAGAUGAAGGCAUAAUCUAAUCAAGUUUAAAGGCUAAUUGAAUUAUAGGAUACAGGAGCUCUUUGACUAGACAUUCCUUUAUAUUGGUGGAUGCUUUAUAGAGUAAAAAUUUUCAAUAAAGCUUCAUAGAAAGUCAAACUUAUCUGCAAACUUGUUUAGAACAGUGUUUUUAAAAUUGUCUAUCAAUUUCUUUGCUUUGAAAUGAAGUGUUUAUUUAGAUACAGUAUACUGUAUAUGUAUUGCAAAACAACAAAACCUCUAAGUAUUUGCUCUCAAGGCAUUGUGUAGAUAUUACACUAUUUACCGUCGUCUGAUAACAAUCACUUUUGACAAAAAGUACAUAAAGUAUGUGCCUGUUACCAUUUCUGAAUUGUUCUUACACCCCCUGCUUUCCAACUGUAAUCACAUUUGACAGCUGGCAGUGUUGCACACAUUGUUAUCACUAAAGUCAAUUAACACCCAUGGUUAUCCAUUUCUAAUAUGAAGGGCCAGCUUUUUUACUAACCUUUAGUUGUUGAGGAGAUGCAUAUAGGUGUACACAUUGGGGAAAUGAUAAAAAACAAGUAACACUGGACACUAACAACCUGAGGUUAACACAUAGAAAACACAUAUUCAAGUGGUGAAACACGACUACAAUGUAUAGCAGCAGUAAAGUCAGAAAUACAGCACAGUAACAAUGGGGAUUGUUUGGCGUGUUUAAGACCUACACUCUUUCAAUGAAAGAAAAACAGGACUGUGUACACACCCCAUCUAGCCAUCAUUACUCCAUUUUUUGCAUGCCAAACAGCUGGAAUGUGACAGACGAAAAUCACUUCAGAACAUAAAAUGAUGUGACACAUACAAGGAUUUGCCUCUGUAUUCCAUGAUGCAUUAUAUCCUGUAUUCACCGUUUAUCUCAUUAAAUGCUUAACCUAAGACCAGUUAUAUAUUUUAUAUUGAAUCUAACACACUACCUCCACAAUCUAACAACCCAAUUGCAUCAAGAUGCUUAUUGCAUUAGGUAAAUACGUUUUAGCAGCAAUACUUAAUUAAUAAUAAUCUGUGUUAACACUAAGGUUAUAUUCUAAAGUGUUUGGCUGCAUCAUUCAUUACAAGCACUUGCAAUUAAAAAUUUUAAGUGCAUGUCAUGUGCAUCGCAAAGGAUUAAAAUACUGCAGUUAUUACUCUGGCCAGCAGAGGACAUAUGACUGGCUGGGCAUAAAAAAAAGAAAACAAACAAAAAAAAUCUUCCUAUCUCCCCAAACCAUCAUGGAAUACACUCAGGCCAUCUGUAACUUAAACACUUGGAUAAUUAAAAAAUAGAACAGCGCAAAACAAGCAGAGACAUUAACAUUCUUGUACUUUCACAGUAUUUAAAAACUAUACAUCCAGCUAUGGGGUAAAAGUUUAGGGAGAACGCUCCAGCACGAUUCAUGUGAAGUUAUAAAAGUCCCAGUGUUGCAAUACAUAAAUGGUUACUUUUUAAAACUUGAAUUGAAGCUCCCCUUCCCUCCCGCGAUCCCCUUCCCACUAUAUGUUGGGGUGUGAGGGGCCACCAACAUGCAAGAGAUGAAAGCAUCCAAGUACCCCACAGUGACAACCACCCAAAACAUUACAGUCAUCCUCAAGAUCAUGCUUUGAGCACAAGAAGCCAAACAACCAAUAACAAAACUUCAGUACAUUGAGAAAUAAACAUAUUUAACAUUGAUUUGAUGGAUUGCAUGGUUCUGACAGCCAAAGUCACAAAAAAUCACUCAGACGGGAUUUGUGUUUGUUGUGGUUAAAGUCCGAUAAACAAAAAGAUCAAAUUGACCAACACACAGGAUGCCAACCUGCAUGCUUCUCCUUCGAUUUUCCUUUCACGAGGCUCAGACAAUAUGUAAGCAUCUAAAGCUUUGAUAUGCUUGCUGAUGAAUGUCCAUGUCACAUUCACACAAGACCAAAAACAGAGAUUCACUCCAACAUUACAUCACAGCCAAGAUUUUACACAUUUCAGAAAUUCAGUGUGUAAACCCUGUCAUGCUACAUUACAGCGGAUUGCCGUAAUUCUCUGGCAGAAGAAAUAAAAAUACUGUAAAUACAAAUUACAAGAUCAAAGAAGAACCUUAUCAAAGGGCAACAACAGCUGUCAAACGCAACACACAUCAUUAAAGUUCAACAGCUUUCCACAAUGAUAGAAGCAUGCUACCUAUUCUCAGAAAAGCUGCUCUUAAAUGAAAAUCUUGUGCUCUCCAGUGACAUAAUUAACAGCCUCUGCCCGGCUAAAGUAUAGGAAAUAAUCUGAUAACAAUGUAGGCAAUAACUUUUUUGUGGUGAUAUGCAGCAUUAUAAAGUGUAUUUUCCAGAGCUGGAGCCAAUAAAAUGCAUUGUCAAUAUCAGCUGCUAAUCCUUAGCUUUAAGCUAGCUGUAUUCAGAGAAAAUACAUCUCAAUGAACCUUCAACUUUACUCUAUAUUUCUUGUUUUAAGAACAGUCUUCUCCUCAUCAAUGCAUUAUCUGCCCUGUAGAUACUUUUCUGAAUUAACCUUUCAUCUUAGCUAACCAAAAUUAAAGAGCAAAUGCUUUACAGGGUUUUGCAAAGAUUUCUCCAUUUUUGCUUUUCAUUUCUUGAGAUAUUCAGGGAAUAAAUGGAGAGAAAAAAAGGUGAUAGAGUUCAUUAUUUCUGACUGAGAUGUAAUUACAUGAAUUUUCCUCCCAUGAUAAGGUUGUUCUGCCAGUCCCUUUCCCCCCUCAGCCUAUGCAUAGGGGCACUGAGAACUGCAGCUACCACCUCCCUCCCACCCCGUCCACCAGGUCGGGGAGGGGUCCGCACCCCUUCCCUUCCCUCAACAGGCAGACCCUUCCCCCCGAUAAAGGGUAACGUGUUCCCUGGGAUGGUUCCCCAUAUUGUCUCCCAUAGUGAAUGACCUGUGUAGAG
Long non-coding RNA from Amphiprion ocellaris (clown anemonefish), 3096 nucleotides. The record is from Ensembl. Lineage: Eukaryota; Metazoa; Chordata; Actinopteri; Pomacentridae.